UACGUAGGGGGCAAGCGUUGUCCGGAAUCAUUGGGCGUAAAGAGCGUGUAGGCGGCCCGAUAAGUCCGCUGUGAAAGUCCAGGGCUCAACCCUGGAAUGCCAGUGGAAACUGUCGGGCUCGAGUCCGGAAGAGGCGAGUGGAAUUCCUGGUGUAGCGGUGAAAUGCGCAGAUAUCAGGAGGAACACCUAUGGCGAAGGCAGCUCGCUGGGACGUUACUGACGCUGAGACGCGAAAGCGUGGGGAGCAAACAGG
Molecule: ribosomal RNA, 253 nt
Filed under: uncultured bacterium
Lineage: Bacteria
Description: partial 16S ribosomal RNA
Rfam family: Bacterial small subunit ribosomal RNA
Source: RNAcentral